AGUGAACGCUGGCGGUAGGCCUAACACAUGCAAGUCGAACGGCAGCACAGUAAGAGCUUGCUCUUACGGGUGGCGAGUGGCGGACGGGUGAGGAAUACAUCGGAAUCUACUUUUUCGUGGGGGAUAACGUAGGGAAACUUACGCUAAUACCGCAUACGACCUACGGGUGAAAGCAGGGGAUCUUCGGACCUUGCGCGAUUGAAUGAGCCGAUGUCGGAUUAGCUAGUUGGCGGGGUAAAGGCCCACCAAGGCGACGAUCCGUAGCUGGUCUGAGAGGAUGAUCAGCCACACUGGAACUGAGACACGGUCCAGACUCCUACGGGAGGCAGCAGUGGGGAAUAUUGGACAAUGGGCGCAAGCCUGAUCCAGCCAUACCGCGUGGGUGAAGAGGGCCUUCGGGUUGUAAAGCCCUUUUGUUGGGAAAGAAAAGCAGCAGGUUAAUACCCCGCUGUUCUGACGGUACACAAAGAAUAAGCACCGGCUAACUUCGUG
RNAcentral lists this ribosomal RNA (492 nucleotides) under uncultured bacterium. RNAcentral describes it as "partial 16S ribosomal RNA". It matches the Rfam family "Bacterial small subunit ribosomal RNA", at positions 29 to 507 of the family's 1533-position model. The record is from RNAcentral.